GAAUGUAUGGCUAAGUGGCCAGAGCGCUUGGACAGUAAACUAGAAGCGCGGGGUUAAGUUCCGCUACGUUCA
Molecule: transfer RNA, 72 nt
Filed under: Heliconius melpomene (postman butterfly)
Lineage: Eukaryota; Metazoa; Arthropoda; Insecta; Lepidoptera; Nymphalidae
Description: tRNA HMEL005875
Rfam family: tRNA
About the family: Transfer RNA (tRNA) molecules are approximately 80 nucleotides in length. Their secondary structure includes four short double-helical elements and three loops (D, anti-codon, and T loops).
Source: RNAcentral